This is a non-coding RNA of Salmo salar (Atlantic salmon), 74 nucleotides long. NCBI's taxonomy places the organism in Eukaryota, Metazoa, Chordata, Actinopteri, Salmoniformes, Salmonidae. The record is from Rfam.
GUCUCUGUGGCGCAAUUGGUUAUCGCGUUAGACUGUUAAUCUAAAGGUUGGUGGUUCGAGCCCACCCAGGGACG